Long non-coding RNA from Pieris brassicae (large cabbage white), 201 nucleotides. RefSeq lists it as uncharacterized. The record is from RefSeq and is a predicted model, not a curated record. Lineage: Eukaryota; Metazoa; Arthropoda; Insecta; Lepidoptera; Pieridae. The transcript has 2 exons.
GAAGGUGACAAGUUUAAUCUAUUAAAAUGAAAUUGUUCAGUUUUCUCACUUUUGUGCUGGCGGUGAUUGUCUUGUUCGCGGGACUCACUGAUGCAAACCCCAAAGUCAACGUGAACGCAAUUAGAAAAGGCGGUAGUGCUAUAAGAAAAGGUCUCGGAGUCGUUGGAGCAGCAGGCACAGCACAUGAAGUGUACGAACAUG